Molecule: long non-coding RNA, 309 nt
Organism: Haliotis rubra (blacklip abalone)
Lineage: Eukaryota; Metazoa; Mollusca; Gastropoda; Lepetellida; Haliotidae
Exons: 3
Source: RefSeq, a predicted model, not a curated record
GAUCUCACUGUAAGACAUGACAACAAUGACACCAUCCUUCAUGUGGCAUGUCGAGGUGGACAUAGUCCCAUUGUAGGACAUCUGCUUCCAUUGUUUGACAUUAAUUGUCGUGGACAGGUGGGUUUUACACCAGUGAUGAUAGCAGCUGUGUUUGGGAAGAAGGAUGUUUUCGACCUGCUCGUGUCAAAAGAAGUUGAUCUCACACUAGGAAAUGACAAGAAUAACACCCUCCUUCAUAUGGCAUGUCAAAGUGGACAUAGUCCCAUUGUAGAAACUCUGCUUCCACUGUUUGACAUCAAUUGUCGAGGA